UACAGAAGUUUAAUGGUUUCCACCUAGUCUUGCAUAUUCUGCACAAUUAAAGUAAUAAUUUCUGAUUUUAUAUAUUUUUGUAAUGUACAUAUUUAUAUGAAGUUGAUGAUGAUUGUAUUGGAUGGACUCAAUUUCCCAUGAUGCAUCUGUCACACAUUGGAAUGUAUUGGAUGGACUCAAUCUCCCAUGAUGCAUCUGUGUCACUUCCUGUUUGGUGAAUCUAAUGAAUUAGCUGGUGAGGCUACAGAGGGUAAGCUACCUGUUUGAGGUGCUGCAUGCUUCAUUGUGUCUCAUGUGUACAAAGGUUCAUAUUGUUUAUGGUCAACUCAACAACGAAUUGUGACAUCCUCUCUUGGUUUACAAGCCGGUAAAGUGUUCUACGUUGUUUAUGUUUCCUUGUUGGAGAAAUAAAACAUCAGUUUGGAGAACCUGGCCUUGGAUUUGUGACUAAGAGCGGUACAGUAGAACACUACGGUGAAGUCAAGGACCAGAAGUAGUCAAACCUGCAUGCGAAAUUGGCAAGCUAUUAAGAGACUGCAGCAAGUGUUUGGCAAGAAGUGGUCUACACAUUCGGAAUGGAUUUCCCUUUAGGAGACUGAAGUAAAGAGCUAACAAGUAAGGCUAAGCGAGCAAGCAAGCACUUAAAGUUGGUGUUUGAAGUCGCGCAGCAUAUCUGUGAAUUGUCAUCAGAACUUCAUUGUUUUUGCUUUCUAAAGGAUCAUGAACAUUCCGAUUCAUUGAACUACUUUAAGAGUGGACUAUUGAGAUUGCAUUGAAAUUGCAGUUUGCAUUGACACAUGUUUGAAUGUUGAAUGAAUGAAUUUAAUGUUGUAGCCUGUUGCACAUGACCUGCAUUGAAUUCUACUUAAGUCUGUUUCUAUUGAAUUGUUUGUUUUGUCUGCAUUUAAGGUUGCUUGAUAUUUCAUUGCAGCUUAGUUAUACUAACUUGUGCUUGUAAACUAUUGCAAUUUUGAAAUUCUAUUUAUAAAUUCAUCUCAAAUCUUAACUUGUUUAUAAUUAAGGUUUAUGUUUAAACACUAAUUAUAUUGAAGCUUACUGUAGUGCUAUGUAUUGAUACAACGUUACCUCAUUUUAAUAACAGAUUAGUUUCAUUCCACGCACAAUUAUUACAACAUACAGAAAGUUAAAAAUGUCAGACUCUAGUGAACCCACAUUAAAGUACACACAAGAAAGAGUAGAUCUUCCUGGCCAAGAAGACUUAAACAAGGGACCGAUCGAAGAGAACACACAAGAUGAAGAUUUGGUGCAAGCUCAACAGCUUAUAGAAACUCAACAGAUACACAAAGGUGCAGAGAUUGGCGAUUCUAUUCCACCUGACCUUCGAAGAGGUCAACGUACACGUGUCCUUUCAAAAAAGGGAAAGCAAUUGCAAGAUGCUAAAUUGAAUGAUUUGGAAAGAGCAUUUGAACGUAUGUAUAAAAGAUGGAAGUACGAUAUUAAUGGGUUGAAGAGAUCAAUAAAACAUAAAGAAGAUCCAGAAUUUAUUACUGAAAUUGUCAAUGCCAUUAAUGCCCAUCAGGCUGAUGUAAGCGCCAUUUAUGAUCGAAUUAGAGCCAUCUCAGUUCCUGAUCUUGAAAUUAGGAGAAAGAUAGAUUCAUGUUAUGCCAUCACUAAAACUGCAAGAGAAAAGGCUCAAUGUUUCAUCACUGUUGCAGGUGAUCCAGAAGAUAUACCCUGGCCUGAGGCAGACUCAGUGUUUGAUCCUACAGAGUCUAGUGUUGUCUCUGUGCAAUCUUUUCCAGCUUCUAAAUCUUCCAGUUGGAUUUCUCUUGAGUCCGCACAGAAAAGGCAGCAAGCUGCAGCCGAAGUGGCAGCAACUCAAGAGGUCUUUAAAAUCAUGAAAUCUCAACACCAAUGUGAAGAGGAGAUCCGGGAAUUGGAAGCAGAAGAGAAGAAGGUGAUCGCGGAGCGAGAGGUACAAGAAAAGGCAAUGGAAGUAGAAAGAGCAAAGCAAAGAGCUCUUUUCGUAGCAGAAAGCAUUGAAAGGAAAAGGAAAUUGGAGGAAAAGAGAAAAGAGGUGGAGCGGCUAGAGGAGCUGAAGAAACAUAACGCUGCACAGGCCAGACUACAAGUUUACGCUGAGGAAGACCAACAAGAUCCUCCUGCAUCAACCUUUCAAGGUAGACUGGGCACCCAUGUUAUUGCAGGCAGCAUGUCUGGUCCUGUUAUCCCCCCAUUGGUGUCCUUGCAAGGUAAGGCCCCAGUUAGUAGAUCCUCUUUCACCCUCCCACAAGGCUACAGCGUUGAAGCAGUAGUACCUCAAGUAAAUAGUCAAACUACUUCACAUGAAGCCACCAAUAACCUUGUGAAAAUGCUCGCAGAGGCAAUAACAGCAAAUAGGAUUCCAAUACCAGAGCCUUCUGUCUUUUUUGGAGAUCCAUUGCAGUAUACAGACUGGAAGGUGUCCUUUCAGACUUUAAUUGACCGCAAGAACUUGUCAGCUCAAGAAAAACUCUAUUUCUUGCGAAAGUAUGUAGGAGGCGUGGCCAAGCGAGCUAUUGAAGGAUACUCCCUAGUCAAAACAGAGGAAGCCUACUGUGCUGCGUGGGACAUACUUGAUGACCGCUUCGGGAAUUCCUUUAUAGUUGGCAAAGCAUAUAGAGAUAAGAUACAUUCAUGGCAUAAGAUUUCCUCUAAAGAUAAUGAAGAUCUUCGUGAGUUUGCUGAUUUCUUAACCAGUGUUACAGCUGCCAUGCCUUAUGUUCAGGGCUUACAAACGCUAAAUGAUUGUGUUGAAAUUCAGAGAAUUGUGGCCAAGUUGCCUGACUGGUUGAGUUCCCGUUGGAACAGAACAGCUACAGUUUUCCAAGAUGAACAUAAUGCCUUUCCUGACUUCAAGUCAUUUGUUCAGUUUCUCAACAAAGAGGCCAGAAUUGUCUGUAACCCUAUUACAUCACUCCAAGCAUUGAAGUCUAUAGAACAAGAAAACUCUAGACAGAGUGAUCUAGAUCACAAGCUUCACAGAAAUCGUAACUCAACUGCUAAAACUUUCACUACAAAUUCAAGUGAGAAGACUAACCCUGUAUGCGUGUUUUGUAAAAGGCAUGGACAUUUCUUACACAAAUGCAGGAAGUUUAUGGAAAAGCCAGUCGAAGAGCGAGUGAAGUUUGUGUAUUCUGAGAAAUUAUGCUUUGGUUGUCUCAAGAUUGGACAUAGCUCCAAGCAUUGCAUCUCUAGAAGUGUCUGUGAGAAAUGUGGAAAACAUCAUCCAACCUGUCUACAUCAAGACUGGGGGGAAAAACCAAUAUGUGAAGGUCGUCAAAUGCAGUCUACUGUUAGCCAGGGAUCCGCAGAAAGUAAAUGUGAGCAACCCAAUGACUAUCUAGAGACAUCGUUGGCAAUUUCCAACAGGGUUAUUCAAUAUGAUAGGAACACUCAUACGUCAUCAAUUCUCCCUGUGUACGUGUCAUCAGCAACUAAUCCUGAAGAAGAGACUUUGGUGUACGCCUUGCUCGACACUCAGAGCGACACUACCUUUAUUCUGAAGGACAUAGCUGAUUUGUUACCUGUAAAGCAAGAUCCUGUGAGGCUCAAUAUCUCCACAAUCACAUCAAAAACAAUGGUUGUGUCAAGCAAUAAGUUGUAUGGACUACAGGUAAGAGGUUUGAGGUCUGAAGAAAGAAUCAACCUUCCAGUUACAUAUACUAGAGAAUAUAUACCUGCAAAUAAAUCUGACAUACCUACCUGUAAGUCUGCAAAAAGUUGGCCUCAUUUAGAACAUCUAGCUGACGAGAUGGCACCUGAACUUGACUGUGAAGUGGGAUUGCUGAUCGGUUAUAACUGUUCCCAAGUCUUGCUUCCCAGAAAUGUGGUCAGUGGUAAGGAAGGUGAACCGUUUGCUCAGAAAUCUGUGUUGGGGUGGAGCAUUAUUGGCUACAGCAACCCUGACAAUGGGUUUGCAGAUGAAAUUGGAAUCAGUCAUCGAAUCAUCUCAAAAGAAGUCCUUCCAGCCACUCAAACUCCUCAACCAAUUAAGUCUGAAGUCCACUUUGUGUAUCAAACUAAAGUAAAAGAAAUGUUUACACCAGCGGACAUGUUGAAGAUCUUUGAGUUAGAUUUUACAGCAAAGGAACUUAUAGACUCUAACUGGUUCACUAGGCCAAGUUUCCUGUGGCAACGAGAACUCCCCAAAGAUGAGGUCAAGGCAGAAGAAAGUGAUAGCGACCCAGAGCUCAGAAGGGCCCAAGUCCUCACAACCAAAGUGACAGAGCAAAACGUCUUUGUUGAAUCGUUGCAGAAUUUUUCGGAUGGGGAAAGAAUGGUGAAGGCUAUAGCAAGACUGAAGUGUUGGGCAAGGAAGGUAAAGGGGCGAAAAGAGAGAUCAGAGUCUACAAGACUUAAAGAAAGGAAAGAGGUGAAAUCAAAUCAGCCCUUUAGACUGCACAGGUUACGCCCAUUUGUAGAUGAACACAAUAUUCUGAGAGUGGGAGGAAGGUUGACUAAAUGGAAGAAGGAGUAUCUUUUGAAUCUACAACAAAGGAGUAAGUGGAGUAAGAACCAUCGAGAGACAAAGGUCAAUGAUGUUGUCUGUCUUCAAGAUGACCUGGAUCCACGAAACCGUUGGAAGCUUGCCAAAGUUGUUGAAGUCUUUCCAGGAUCUGAUGGGUGGGUCAGGAAGGUCAAAGUUUUAGUCAGUGAUGCAACAUUAGAUUGUAAAGGUGCAUGCACUAUUAAGUCAGUGUAUUUAGAAAGACCUGUACACAAAACAAUAUUUUUAUUUGAGCCUGAUUAAGGUGUGAGAUUUUAAAUCAUAGAUUAUGUUGAUUUAUUGUAAGUUUUUGAGGUUCAUGUGAAAGAUUGUGUGUGUGUGAUUUAACUUACCUUUGGGUUUUCAGAAUCACAUUUAUGUGAUGGUGGGAGUGUGGCUGCAGCUACAGAAGUUUAAUGGUUUCCACCUAGUCUUGCAUAUUCUGCACAAUUAAAGUAAUAAUUUCUGAUUUUAUAUAUUUUUGUAAUGUACAUAUUUAUAUGAAGUUGAUGAUGAUUGUAUUGGAUGGACUCAAUUUCCCAUGAUGCAUCUGUCACACAUUGGAAUGUAUUGGAUGGACUCAAUCUCCCAUGAUGCAUCUGUGUCACUUCCUGUUUGGUGAAUCUAAUGAAUUAGCUGGUGAGGCUACAGAGGGUAAGCUACCUGUUUGAGGUGCUGCAUGCUUCAUUGUGUCUCAUGUGUACAAAGGUUCAUAUUGUUUAUGGUCAACUCAACAACGAAUUGUGACAUCCUCUCUUGGUUUACAAGCCGGUAAAGUGUUCUACGUUGUUUAUGUUUCCUUGUUGGAGAAAUAAAACAUCAGUUUGGAGAACCUGGCCUUGGAUUUGUGACUAAGAGCGGUACA
This is a non-coding RNA of Misgurnus anguillicaudatus (oriental weatherfish), 5354 nucleotides long. The record is from RefSeq and is a predicted model, not a curated record. NCBI's taxonomy places the organism in Eukaryota, Metazoa, Chordata, Actinopteri, Cypriniformes, Cobitidae.